AAGCAUGUCUGUCGGCAAGGGAGAUACCAUGAUCACGAAGGUGGUUUUCCUAGGGCGAGGGUUAUCCAUUGCACUCCAGAUGUGCUAACCCCUAUGAUUUCCCCCAAAUGUGGGAAACUCGACUGGAUAAUUUGUGGUAGUGGGGGACUGUGUUCAAGGUCUCCUC
Molecule: small nuclear RNA, 166 nt
Filed under: Erinaceus europaeus (western European hedgehog)
Lineage: Eukaryota; Metazoa; Chordata; Mammalia; Eulipotyphla; Erinaceidae
Description: U1 spliceosomal RNA (ENSEEUG00000018671.1)
Rfam family: U1 spliceosomal RNA
About the family: U1 is a small nuclear RNA (snRNA) component of the spliceosome (involved in pre-mRNA splicing). Its 5' end forms complementary base pairs with the 5' splice junction, thus defining the 5' donor site of an intron.
Source: RNAcentral